Molecule: ribosomal RNA, 490 nt
Filed under: uncultured bacterium
Lineage: Bacteria
Description: partial 16S ribosomal RNA
Rfam family: Bacterial small subunit ribosomal RNA
Source: RNAcentral
GAUGAACGCUAGCUACAGGCUUAACACAUGCAAGUCGCGGGGCAGCAUGGGGGUUGCUUGCAAUCCCCGAUGGCGACCGGCGCACGGGUGAGUAACGCGUAUCCAACCUGCCCUUCACCACGGGAUAACCCGGCGAAAGUCGGACUAAUACCGUAUGUUGUCCAUUGACGGCAUCCGAUUUGGACGAAAGGCUUGGCGGUGAGGGGUGGGGAUGCGUCCGAUUAGCCGGACGGCGGGGUAACGGCCCACCGUGGCUACGAUCGGUAGGGGUUCUGAGAGGAAGGUCCCCCACACUGGAACUGAGACACGGUCCAGACUCCUACGGGAGGCAGCAGUGAGGAAUAUUGGUCAAUGGGCGUAAGCCUGAACCAGCCAAGUAGCGUGCAGGAUGACGGCCCUAUGGGUUGUAAACUGCUUUUAUGCGGGGAUAAAGUGGCCCACGUGUGGGCUUUUGCAGGUACCGCAUGAAUAAGGACCGGCUAAUUCCGUG